UUGAAAUCAAAGCUUUUUUAUACCGCGUGUGAAAGUCUCGAUUUUACAUUGAACAUUUCUUCGAAGUUUCGCGGUGGUUUACAAACGUUCAAGAGUUAAAAAAUGCCUGUACUUGUGGUCAGAAUAAGUGAUCAGGAAGGCACUGACUUAUUGGCAAAUACAGUCACCAACUUUUCGGGGGGUAAAUUCUACGAGUUGUUUGAAAAGUGUGUGGAAUCGAAAGACAUUAUCUUGUCUGUUGAUUCGAUGUGGAAGUUCGUCUGCGUGAAGGACAAAAUGCCCAAUUCAUCAUCGCAGAUAAUGCUGAUAUGGACGUUUCAGAAAUAACCUCUUCAUUUAAUUACCUUCUUGGCAGACCAUGGAAAGAGUAGUCAUUACAUGUUCCAGUUGAAAAAGUGCAAUAACUGUGCCUAUUACACAGUUAUUAACCCCCAAGGCUUCCUGUUGCUGAAUUCCAGAGUUUGCAUUUUCUGCCUGACCCUGUUCCUGGUGGAGAAGGCCAUUAUCAAACCUUUGAGGAGGUGUAUGGACAAGUAACAGACGAUACAUACAGGCCGAGUGCUCAAGUACAGGAUGAUCCUGCCACUGCCAACGACAGGCGUAACCGAGAUAUAUUUAAGACCCAAAAAGUUCGUGGUGUUAUUGUAUUUGGAGAGUGCUCAAAACCAAGAUGUGUCUACAGUGAUAAAAAGCUUACCUGUGAACAAGUAAGUUAUUAGUAUUGUAUGUUAUUGGUGGCUUCACUGUCUCGUUUAGCAAGCUUAAGAGGCCUUCAGUACCUGCAGUUUUAACUACGCUAAAUUUAAGUUGAUAUUAAAGUAGAUUUGUGAAACUUUUUUUUCAUG
This is a long non-coding RNA of Magallana angulata, 845 nucleotides long. RefSeq lists it as uncharacterized. The record is from RefSeq and is a predicted model, not a curated record. The transcript has 3 exons. Lineage: Eukaryota; Metazoa; Mollusca; Bivalvia; Ostreida; Ostreidae.